GUCCACGCCGUAAACGAUGUCAACUAGCCGUUGGUUCUAUAUACAGAAUUAGUGGCGCAGCUAACGCAUUAAGUUGACCGCCUGGGGAGUACGGCCGCAAGGUUAAACUCAAAUGAAUUGACGGGGCCCGCACAAGCGGUGGAGCAUGUGGUUUAAUUCGAUGCAACGCGAAGAACCUUACCUACCCUUGACAUCCAGAGAAUCUGUUAGAGAUAGUAGAGUGCCUUCGGGAACUCUGAGACAGGUGCUGCAUGGCUGUCGU
Molecule: ribosomal RNA, 262 nt
Filed under: uncultured bacterium
Lineage: Bacteria
Description: partial 16S ribosomal RNA
Rfam family: Bacterial small subunit ribosomal RNA
Source: RNAcentral